RNAcentral lists this ribosomal RNA (430 nucleotides) under bacterium. RNAcentral describes it as "partial 16S ribosomal RNA". It matches the Rfam family "Bacterial small subunit ribosomal RNA", at positions 355 to 776 of the family's 1533-position model. The record is from RNAcentral.
UGGGGAAUAUUGGACAAUGGGCGCAAGCCUGAUCCAGCCAUGCCGCGUGUGUGAAGAAGGCCUUUUGGUUGUAAAGCACUUUAAGCGAGGAGGAGGCUACUUGGAUUAAUACUCUAGGAUAGUGGACGUUACUCGCAGAAUAAGCACCGGCUAACUCUGUGCCAGCAGCCGCGGUAAUACAGAGGGUGCGAGCGUUAAUCGGAUUUACUGGGCGUAAAGCGUGCGUAGGCGGCUUCUUAAGUCGGAUGUGAAAUCCCUGAGCUUAACUUAGGAAUUGCAUUAGAUACUGGGGAGCUAGAGUAUGGGAGAGGAUGGUAGAAUUCCAGGUGUAGCGGUGAAAUGCGUAGAGAUCUGGAGGAAUACCGAUGGCGAAGGCAGCCAUCUGGCCUAAUACUGACGCUGAGGUACGAAAGCAUGGGGAGCAAACAGG